CAGCCGCCGCGGUAAUACGAAGGGUGCAAGCGUUACUCGGAAUUACUGGGCGUAAAGCGUGCGUAGGUGGUGGUUUAAGUCCGUUGUGAAAGCCCUGGGCUCAACCUGGGAAUUGCAGUGGAUACUGGAUCACUAGAGUGUGGUAGAGGAUAGUGGAAUUUCCGGUGUAGCAGUGAAAUGCGUAGAGAUCGGAAGGAACAUCUGUGGCGAAGGCGACUAUCUGGGCCAACACUGACACUGAGGCACGAAAGCGUGGGGAGCAAACAGGAUUAGAUACCCCCGUAGUCCCUGUCCCUUAUAC
Molecule: ribosomal RNA, 301 nt
Filed under: uncultured bacterium
Lineage: Bacteria
Description: partial 16S ribosomal RNA
Rfam family: Bacterial small subunit ribosomal RNA
Source: RNAcentral